Molecule: ribosomal RNA, 425 nt
Filed under: uncultured bacterium
Lineage: Bacteria
Description: partial 16S ribosomal RNA
Rfam family: Bacterial small subunit ribosomal RNA
Source: RNAcentral
GUGGGGAAUCUUAGACAAUGGGGGAAACCCUGAUCUAGCCAUGCCGCGUGAGCGAUGAAGGCCUUAGGGUUGUAAAGCUCUUUCAGCUGGGAAGAUAAUGACGGUACCAGCAGAAGAAGCCCCGGCUAACUCCGUGCCAGCAGCCGCGGUAAUCCGGAGGGGGCUAGCGUUGUUCGGAAUUACUGGGCGUAAAGCGCACGUAGGCGGAUCAGAAAGUCAGAGGUGAAAUCCCAGGGCUCAACCUUGGAACUGCCUUUGAAACUCCUGGUCUUGAGGUCGAGAGAGGUGAGUGGAAUUCCGAGUGUAGAGGUGAAAUUCGUAGAUAUUCGGAGGAACACCAGUGGCGAAGGCGGCUCACUGGCUCGAUACUGACGCUGAGGUGCGAAAGCGUGGGGAGCAAACAGGAUUAGAAACCCUGGUAGUCC